RNAcentral lists this non-coding RNA (63 nucleotides) under Desulfurella amilsii. RNAcentral's name for it is "Fluoride sequence". It matches the Rfam family "Fluoride riboswitch aptamer (crcB RNA motif)". Lineage: Bacteria; Pseudomonadati; Campylobacterota; Desulfurellia; Desulfurellales; Desulfurellaceae. The record is from Rfam by way of RNAcentral.
GUAAAGAAAGGCGAUGGAGUUCGCCUUAAAAUGCCCACCUUGGCUGAUGACUCCUGCAUAAAA